Molecule: ribosomal RNA, 253 nt
Filed under: uncultured bacterium
Lineage: Bacteria
Description: partial 16S ribosomal RNA
Rfam family: Bacterial small subunit ribosomal RNA
Source: RNAcentral
UACGUAGGGGGCUAGCGUUGUCCGGAAUCAUUGGGCGUAAAGAGCGUGUAGGCGGCCCGGUAAGUCCGCUGUGAAAGUCGGGGGCUCAACCCUCGAAUGCCGGUGGAUACUGUCGGGCUAGAUUGCGGAAGAGGCGAGUGGAAUUCCUGGUGUAGCGGUGAAAUGCGCAGAUAUCAGGAGGAACACCAAUUGCGAAGGCAGCUCGCUGGGACGUAACUGACGCUGAGACGCGAAAGCGUGGGGAGCGAACAGG